Molecule: ribosomal RNA, 253 nt
Filed under: uncultured bacterium
Lineage: Bacteria
Description: partial 16S ribosomal RNA
Rfam family: Bacterial small subunit ribosomal RNA
Source: RNAcentral
UACGUAGGGGGCAAGCGUUGUCCGGAAUCAUUGGGCGUAAAGAGCGUGUAGGCGGUCCGGUCAGUCGGUUGUGAAAGUCAAGGGCUCAACCCUUGAAUGCCGGCCGAUACUGCCGGGCUAGAGUCCGGUAGGGGAGUGGGGAAUUCCUGGUGUAGCGGUGAAAUGCGCAGAUAUCAGGAAGAACACCCGUGGCUAAGGCGGCUCUCUAGUACGGUACUGACGCUGAGACGCGAAAGCGUGGGGAGCGAACAGG